This 504-nucleotide ribosomal RNA is filed under the name Olea europaea subsp. europaea. It matches the Rfam family "Eukaryotic small subunit ribosomal RNA", at positions 4 to 506 of the family's 1831-position model. Lineage: Eukaryota; Viridiplantae; Streptophyta; Magnoliopsida; Lamiales; Oleaceae. The record is from RNAcentral.
CUGGUUGAUCCUACUAGUAGUCAUAUACUUGUCUCAAAGAUUAAGCCAUGCAUGUGUAACAAUGAAUUAAUUUAGACUGUGAAACUGCGAAUUGCUCAUUAAAUUAGUUAUAGUUUAUUUGAUGGUACCUACUGCUCAGAUAAUUGUAGUAAUUCUAGAGAUAAUACGUGCAACAAAUCCCUACUUCUGGAAGAGACCCAUUUAUUAGAUAAAAGGUCGACGUGGGCUUCGCCUGUUGCUGUGAUGAUUCAUGAUAAUUUGACGGAUAUCACGGUCUUCGUGCCGACGAUGCAUCAUUCAAAUUUCUUCCCUAUCAACUUUCGAUGGUAGGAUAGUGGCCUACUAAGGUGGUGAUGGGUGAUGGAGAAUUAGGGUUCGAUUCUGGAGAGGGAGAUUGAGAAAUGGCUACCACAUCCAAGGAAGGCAGUAGGCGCGCAAAUUACCCAAUCUUGAUACAGGGAGGUAGUGACAAUAAAUAAUAAUACUGAGCUCUGAGAGUCUGGU